RNAcentral lists this ribosomal RNA (590 nucleotides) under Microbacterium sp. ACT-60. Its description in RNAcentral is "bacterial SSU rRNA". It matches the Rfam family "Bacterial small subunit ribosomal RNA", at positions 273 to 873 of the family's 1533-position model. The record is from RNAcentral. Lineage: Bacteria; Bacillati; Actinomycetota; Actinomycetes; Micrococcales; Microbacteriaceae.
GCGUCGACGGGUAGCCGGCCUGAGAGGGUGACCGGCCACACUGGGACUGAGACACGGCCCAGACUCCUACGGGAGGCAGCAGUGGGGAAUAUUGCACAAUGGGCGCAAGCCUGAUGCAGCAACGCCGCGUGAGGGACGACGGCCUUCGGGUUGUAAACCUCUUUUAGCAGGGAAGAAGCGAAAGUGACGGUACCUGCAGAAAAAGCACCGGCUAACUACGUGCCAGCAGCCGCGGUAAUACGUAGGGUGCAAGCGUUAUCCGGAAUUAUUGGGCGUAAAGAGCUCGUAGGCGGUUUGUCGCGUCUGCUGUGAAACCCCGAGGCUCAACCUCGGGCCUGCAGUGGGUACGGGCAGACUAGAGUGCGGUAGGGGAGAUUGGAAUUCCUGGUGUAGCGGUGGAAUGCGCAGAUAUCAGGAGGAACACCGAUGGCGAAGGCAGAUCUCUGGGCCGUAACUGACGCUGAGGAGCGAAAGGGUGGGGAGCAAACAGGCUUAGAUACCCUGGUAGUCCACCCCGUAAACGUUGGGAACUAGUUGUGGGGUCCAUUCCACGGAUUCCGUGACGCAGCUAACGCAUUAAGUUCCCCGCC